This is a non-coding RNA of Callithrix jacchus (white-tufted-ear marmoset), 519 nucleotides long. Lineage: Eukaryota; Metazoa; Chordata; Mammalia; Primates; Cebidae. The record is from RefSeq and is a predicted model, not a curated record.
AUCAAAGCAUUCAGUCAGGUGGAUUUCUGGGGACAGAGCCAUCCAGGCAGAAGGAAGAGACAGCACAUGUGCUCAGAGCAGGGCAGGCCUGGCUCAGCACUAGAAGGCUGCCCAGUGCAGGAGCUCAGAGACCAGGGAGGCCGAGUGUGAGAGGAAUGCAAAGAGGUUCACCGUGUGAAUCUUCUUAACUUGGAGUGGGUACUACAGAAGAUUCCCAAUAAUGAACUGAGGACCAAAAUUAUCCAGGAGACUCUAGUGGCAAGGGAAAGAUCAGGGAACCAGGUAAACAUCUAGUCUUCUGAGAGUCCAUCAAAAUGAAUAGGACAUUUUACUGUACCUCCUCAGUAAGAAGAAUGAUUUUAAAUAGCUCAACUGAUUGCAAGGAAAUCUGUGAGAAGUAACUGCAAAACCAUGGCAACACUCCUGCCUUAGAGUUUCUAAAGGAACCAGCUCUCCCAGAGCUUAAGAAGGUUAAACAGGUUAUUAUGAAUUAAAGGUUUGCUAUAAUUUACAUAUUUA